UUUGCUUGAUUGGCAUACACACUAAAAAAUGAAAUGAUACCUAGAAGAUUAGCAUGGGACCUGUUCAAGAAUAUCACAUAAAUUUAUGAAGCAUUCUAUAUUGCU
Cavia aperea (Brazilian guinea pig) is the source of this 105-nucleotide small nuclear RNA. Lineage: Eukaryota; Metazoa; Chordata; Mammalia; Rodentia; Caviidae. The record is from Ensembl.